AAUCUGCCCUUGGGUUCGGAAUAACAGUGAGAAAUUACUGCUAAUACCGAAUGAUGACGUAAGUCCAAAGAUUUAUCGCCCAAGGAUGAGCCCACGUAGGAUUAGCUAGUUGGUGAGGUAAAAGCUCACCAAGGCGACGAUCCUUAGCUGGUCUGAGAGGAUGAUCAGCCACACUGGGACUGAGACACGGCCCAGACUCCUACGGGAGGCAGCAGUGGGGAAUAUUGGACAAUGGGCGAAAGCCUGAUCCAGCAAUGCCGCGUGAGUGAUGAAGGCCUUAGGGUUGUAAAGCUCUUUUACCCGGGAUGAUAAUGACAGUACCGGGAGAAUAAGCUCCGGCUAACUCCGUGCCAGCAGCCGCGGUAAUACGGAGGGAGCUAGCGUUAUUCGGAAUUACUGGGCGUAAAGCGCACGUAGGCGGCUUUGUAAGUUAGAGGUGAAAGCCUGGAGCUCAACUCCAGAACUGCCUUUAAGACUGCAUCGCUUGAAUCCAGGAGAGGUGAGUGGAAUUCCGAGUGUAGAGGUGAAAUUCGUAGAUAUUCGGAAGAACACCAGUGGCGAAGGCGGCUCACUGGACUG
RNAcentral lists this ribosomal RNA (579 nucleotides) under uncultured Sphingomonas sp. RNAcentral's name for it is "bacterial SSU rRNA". It matches the Rfam family "Bacterial small subunit ribosomal RNA", at positions 123 to 736 of the family's 1533-position model. The record is from RNAcentral. Lineage: Bacteria; Pseudomonadati; Pseudomonadota; Alphaproteobacteria; Sphingomonadales; Sphingomonadaceae.